Molecule: long non-coding RNA, 129 nt
Organism: Amblyraja radiata (thorny skate)
Lineage: Eukaryota; Metazoa; Chordata; Chondrichthyes; Rajiformes; Rajidae
Exons: 3
Source: RefSeq, a predicted model, not a curated record
CAGCUUUGGUCUCCACCAUUCACAGAUCUUCCCUCUCUAUUCACCCCACCGCCUCCCUGCCGUGAGUAUAGGAUCCCUCUCCUCCAUCUCUGGCUUUGCUUUCUCUAGCCCACAACUACCACAUGUCCC